Molecule: unclassified non-coding RNA, 282 nt
Filed under: plant metagenome
Description: partial contains small subunit ribosomal RNA, internal transcribed spacer 1, and 5.8S ribosomal RNA
Rfam family: 5.8S ribosomal RNA (bases 235-282)
Source: RNAcentral
GUUCCGUAGGUGAACCUGCGGAAGGAUCAUUAUUGUAUAACCGAGGUGCGAGGGCUGUCGCUGACCCGAAAGGUCGUGCACGCCCGAGUGCCCUCACACACAUCCAUCUCACCCCUAUGUGCACCACCGCGUGGGUCCCCCUUUGGCUUGUUCGGAGGGGGGCUUACGUUUUCACACAAACUUUGUAUGCAGUGUAGAAUGUAUUUUUUGUUUUUGCGAUCACGCAAUCAAUACAACUUUCAACAACGGAUCUCUUGGCUCUCGCAUCGAUGAAAACGCAGC